GACGAACGCUGGCGGCGUGCCUAAUACAUGCAAGUAGAACGCACAGUUUAUACCGUAGCUUGCUACACCAUAGACUGUGAGUUGCGAACGGGUGAGUAACGCGUAGUUAACCUGCCCGGUAGCGGGGGAUAACUAUUGGAAACGAUAGCUAAUACCGCAUAAUAUUAAUUAUUGCAUGAUAAUUAAUUGAAAGGUGCAAUUGCACCACUACCAGAUGGACCUGCGUUGUAUUAGCUAGUAGGUGUGGUAACGGCUCACCUAGGCGACGAUACAUAGCCGACCUGAGAGGGUGAUCGGCCACACUGGGACUGAGACACGGCCCAGACUCCUACGGGAGGCAGCAGUAGGGAAUCUUCGGCAAUGGACGAAAGUCUGACCGAGCAACGCCGCGUGAGUGAAGAAGGUUUUCGGAUCAUAAAGCUCUGUUGUAAGAGAAGAACGGGUGUGAGAGUGGAAAGUUCACACUGUGACGGUAUCUUACCAGAAAGGGACGGCUAACUACGUG
Molecule: ribosomal RNA, 505 nt
Filed under: uncultured bacterium
Lineage: Bacteria
Description: partial 16S ribosomal RNA
Rfam family: Bacterial small subunit ribosomal RNA
Source: RNAcentral